CUAAGCAUAUCAAUAAGCGGAGGAAAAGAAACCAACAGGGAUUGCCCUAGUAACGGCGAGUGAAGCGGCAACAGCUCAAAUUUGAAAUCUGGCUCUUUUAGGGUCCGAGUUGUAAUUUGCAGAGGGCGCUUUGGCGUUGGCAGCGGUCCAAGUUCUUUGGAACAGGACGUCACAGAGGGUGAGAAUCCCGUACGUGGUCGCUAGCCUUCGCCGUGUAAAGCCCCUUCGACGAGUCGAGUUGUUUGGGAAUGCAGCUCUAAAUGGGAGGUAAAUUUCUUCUAAAGCUAAAUACUGGCCAGAGACCGAUAGCGCACAAGUAGAGUGAUCGAAAGAUGAAAAGCACUUUGGAAAGAGAGUCAAAUAGCACGUGAAAUUGUUGAAAGGGAAGCGCUUGCAGCCAGACUUGCCUGUAGUUGCUUAUCCGGACUUUUGUCCGGUGCACUCUUCUGCGGGCAGGCCAGCAUCAGUCUAGGCGGUUGGAUAAAGGUCUCUGUCAUGUACCUCUCUUCGGGGAGGCCUUAUAGGGGAGACGACAUGCAACCAGCCUGGACUGAGGUCCGCGCAUCUGCUAGGAUGCUGGCGUAAUGGCUGUAAGCGGCCCGUCUUGAAACACGGACCAAGGAGUCUAACAUCUAUGCGAGUGUUUGGGUGUCAAGCCCAGACGCGUAAUGAAAGUGAACGGAGGUGGGAACCCUUUGGGUGCACCAUCGACCGAUCCUGAUGUCUUCGGAUGGAUUUGAGUAAGAGCAUGGCUGUUGGGACCCGAAAGAUGGUGAACUAUGCUUGAAUAGGGUGAAGCCAGAGGAAACUCUGGUGGAGGCUCGCAGCGGUUCUGACGUGCAAAUCGAUCGUCAAAUUUGGGCAUAGGGGCGAAAGACUAAUCGAACUAUCUAGUAGCUGGUUCCUGGCGAAGUGUCCCUCAGACC
RNAcentral lists this ribosomal RNA (926 nucleotides) under Neosetophoma salicis. RNAcentral's name for it is "partial 28S ribosomal RNA". It matches the Rfam family "Eukaryotic large subunit ribosomal RNA", at positions 34 to 979 of the family's 3401-position model. Lineage: Eukaryota; Fungi; Ascomycota; Dothideomycetes; Pleosporales; Phaeosphaeriaceae. The record is from RNAcentral.